GUGCCAGCAGCCGCGGUAAGACGGAGGAGGCAAGCGUUAUCCGGAAUUAUUGGGCGUAAAGCGUCCGCAGGCGGCUAAUUAAGUCUGUUGUUAAAGCUCACAGCUCAACUGUGAAUCAGCAAUGGAAACUGGUUAGCUAGAGUGUGGUAGGGGUAGAGGGAAUUCCCGGUGUAGCGGUGAAAUGCGUAGAUAUCGGGAAGAACACCAGUGGCGAAGGCGCUCUACUGGGCCACAACUGACGCUGAGGGACGAAAGCUAGGGGAGCGAAAGGGAUUAGAUACCCCUGUAGUCCUAGCUGUAAACGAUGGAUACUAGGUGUUGGACGUAUCGACCCGUGCAGUACCGUAGCUAACGCGUUAAGUAUCCCGCCUGGGGAGUACGCACGCAAGUGUGAAACUCAAAGGAAUUGACGGGGGCCCGCACAAGCGGUGGAGGAUGUGGUUUAAUUCGAUGCAACGCGAAGAACCUUACCAAGGCUUGACAUCCUGCGAAUCUUUCAGAGAUGAGAGAGUGCCUUCGGGAGCGCAGAGACAGGUGGUGCAUGGCUGUCGUCAGCUCGUGUCGUGAGAUGUUGGGUUAAGUCCCGCAACGAGCGCAACCCUCGUUUUUAGUUGCCAGCAUUAAGUUGGGCACUCUAGAGAGACUGCCGGUGACAAACCGGAGGAAGGUGGGGAUGACGUCAAGUCAGCAUGCCCCUUACGUCCUGGGCUACACACGUACUACAAUGCUACGGACAAAGGGCAGCAAGCGAGCGAUCGCAAGCAAAUCUCAUAAACCGUGGCUCAGUUCAGAUCACAGGCUGCAACUCGCCUGCGUGAAGGUGGAAUCGCUAGUAAUCGCAGGUCAGCACACUGCGGUGAAUACGUUCCCGGGCCUUGUACACACCGCCCGUCACACCAUGGAAGCUGGCCAUGCCCGAAGUCGUUACCCUAACCGCAAGGAGGGGGGCGCCGAAGGCGGGGCUGGUGACUGGGGUGAAGUCGUAACAAGGUAACC
Molecule: ribosomal RNA, 996 nt
Filed under: uncultured cyanobacterium
Lineage: Bacteria; Bacillati; Cyanobacteriota
Description: bacterial SSU rRNA
Rfam family: Bacterial small subunit ribosomal RNA
Source: RNAcentral